AUUGAACGCUGGCGGCAGGCCUAACACAUGCAAGUCGAGCGGUUGAGGUAGCUUGCUACCGAUGCAGCGGCGAACGGGUGAGUAAUACAUGGGAAUCUGCCUGGUAGUGGGGGACAACGUCUCGAAAGGGACGCUAAUACCGCAUACGCCCUACGGGGGAAAGGGGGGGAUCUUCGGACCUCUCGCUAUCAGAUGAGCCCAUGUCAGAUUAGCUAGUUGGUGGGGUAAAGGCUCACCAAGGCGACGAUCUGUAACUGGUCUGAGAGGAUGAUCAGUCACACUGGAACUGAGACACGGUCCAGACUCCUACGGGAGGCAGCAGUGGGGAAUAUUGGACAAUGGGCGCAAGCCUGAUCCAGCCAUGCCGCGUGUGUGAAGAAGGCCUUAGGGUUGUAAAGCACUUUCAGUGGGGAGAAAGGUUAUUCACCUAAUACGUGAGUAAAUUGAUGUUACCCACAGAAGAAGCACCGGCUAACUCCGUGCCAGCCGCCGCCGUAA
RNAcentral lists this ribosomal RNA (498 nucleotides) under uncultured bacterium. RNAcentral's name for it is "partial 16S ribosomal RNA". It matches the Rfam family "Bacterial small subunit ribosomal RNA", at positions 30 to 523 of the family's 1533-position model. The record is from RNAcentral.